AAAGUGAUUGAGGAAGAUCACAGAUUUCUCAUUGUUUUUCUCAUCUUCUUUUCUUUUUCUGAAUCCUUCCCAUAUUCAUCCAAAGGCAUGCUCAUCCACUUUCUGUAGAGGGUUUAGGGUCGAAUCACCAUCGCUCUCUAUUUUCUCUUCUUCUUCGAUAGCUCCGUCACUCUCUUCUUAUGGAUUGUUGGUCCCUUUCUCUCCCUCUCGACGACGAGUUCAAGAAGCUCGUCAAUCGUAUGAACCCUCACAGGGUUACCAUUGAUAAUGAUUCCAGCAGAAAAGCUACUCCGAUUAAG
This is a long non-coding RNA of Cucumis melo (muskmelon), 299 nucleotides long. RefSeq lists it as uncharacterized. Lineage: Eukaryota; Viridiplantae; Streptophyta; Magnoliopsida; Cucurbitales; Cucurbitaceae. The record is from RefSeq and is a predicted model, not a curated record. The transcript has 3 exons.